GGGGACGUCCUCCAAGAGGGCGUUGGGGUCGGGUUUGCGGACGCGGACAGGGAGCUUGGGGCCGGCGAGGGCGGCGUUCUGGGCGGCGAGCUUGGCUUCCUCCUUCUUGUCGUAUAUGGGCUGGACGAUCUCCCGUCGGAGCGUCCUCAGCCUCUUCUUCCUCUUCGACCGCAGCGACUUCGCCAUUUCUCUCUAGGUCGGCG
This 203-nucleotide unclassified non-coding RNA is filed under the name Hevea brasiliensis (rubber tree). Lineage: Eukaryota; Viridiplantae; Streptophyta; Magnoliopsida; Malpighiales; Euphorbiaceae. The record is from RNAcentral.